This 1105-nucleotide long non-coding RNA is filed under the name Cyanistes caeruleus (blue tit). Its description in RNAcentral is "lncRNA (ENSCCEG00000022446.1)". Lineage: Eukaryota; Metazoa; Chordata; Aves; Passeriformes; Paridae. The record is from RNAcentral.
GCCUUCCCCUCCUCGCAGCUGGUCAUUGCUGUGGGUGUAAUUUAAGGCAGAACUUGGCCUUUCUUACAUAUUUCAUUUACUCCCUUGAUUUUAAUUGACCCUGUUACGGGCAUUUCAAGCAUUUCACGAGCCUGUGGUGCCUGGUUUCCCAGGUCAGAGAGAGGUUUUCUCAGACCCUCUGUCCCAACAGGGCUGUUGGCAGCAUGAGCAGAUACCCCUCCCCUGGAACAACCCUGUUCUGUGGGAUUGGGAUCCAGCUUGAAGGUCACCAAGCCCUCAGACCAACAGAGGUCAUCAAGACUCUUCAUCCAGCAUGCAAAAGAAGGAUUUCCCCCUCCUUCAGGCCUCCUUAUCACUUGCUCAGAGGCUCAGGAGACAGAAGGAAGGGACAGUCAAGAGAAAUGAUGAGCCUAGAGAAUAAAUCUGAACAGCAGCCCUUGGUGAAAAAGGAGGUGACAAAAGACUCUGCUCAGCUGCCCAAAUGGAUUGCACUGUUUGAGACAUCUUAAAGUAUCCAAGACACCAGGCAUGGCUGGAAGAAGUGACAAGAGACCUGUAGAAAACCAUAUUCUCCCAGCAAGGCAGAUCUCCAGAGUGCCUCAAAUGACCCCUAGGAGGUUUAACCCUCUCACACCAAGUGAUAUCCCAGCUUUGUUUUGCUCUUCCUUGAGUCCCUUAAAGGUUUCACCAAUGGGUUUCUUCCCAACUUUGUAGACAUGACAUAACUCUUUCUCUUCAUCUCAGCAUCCACCUUUUGAUUCCUCUCCUCACAGGAAGUGUGUGGAGUGACCCCAGCCUUUGCUCCCACUGUCCAAACUGUUUUGGAAUGGUGGGAGACAGCCAACUUUUCCGGGGUCCGUGUGAAAGAAGCUAAAUGGGAGCAUGAAGGUGGUAAUGGAGUGGAAGCAGAGCAAGGAAAACCUCACUGAUGGAUUAUUAGGCACUGUCAAAGUUUCAGCAGAGUGGAAAACUUGGAGGCAGGAGUAGUAACCCAUGAAAAAUCACCUCUUCCUUUUCCUGUUCAUGGCAGGGCAGCGUGUCCAGAUCAAAGCCACCCGUCACUGCUCGGCCUCAGUCACACAAUUUACGAGGCACUGGGGCACCA